RNAcentral lists this ribosomal RNA (274 nucleotides) under uncultured bacterium. Its description in RNAcentral is "partial 16S ribosomal RNA". It matches the Rfam family "Bacterial small subunit ribosomal RNA", at positions 523 to 796 of the family's 1533-position model. The record is from RNAcentral.
AUACGGAGGGUGCAAGCGUUACUCGGAAUCACUGGGCGUAAAGCGCGCGCAGGCGGCUUGAUAAGUUGGAUGUGAAAGCCUACGUCUCAACCGUAGAACUGCAUCCAAAACUGUCAGGCUAGAGUGUGGGAGAGGAAGAUGGAAUUAGUUGUGUAGGGGUAAAAUCCGUAGAGAUAACUAGGAAUACCAAAAGCGAAGGCAAUCUUCUGGAACACUACUGACGCUGAGGCGCGAAGGCGUGGGGAGCAAACAGGAUUAGAAACCCUAGUAGUCC